This 225-nucleotide long non-coding RNA is filed under the name Capsicum annuum. RNAcentral's name for it is "long non-coding RNA (CANN_LNC008042)". The record is from RNAcentral. Lineage: Eukaryota; Viridiplantae; Streptophyta; Magnoliopsida; Solanales; Solanaceae.
UUGCGUCUUCAUCUUUCCUUUCAUUAUUCUGCUCACAAACAUUGGAUGCUUCUAUGUGAUGACUCUUCCUCUUGCCUCUCCUCUCAUAUACUAAAUAUUAAAAACUACCAGUGCAUCACGUAACAUCCUAGACAAUGGAUCUUUAGGAAGGGAGACAUUUUUCUCUAAACGAACUUCUUUACAUGCUGGUGGUUUCGUAAUAUUUUGUUCUUUCAACUUAGAAGG